AGUGAACGCUGGCGGUAGGCCUAACACAUGCAAGUCGAACGGCAGCACAGUAAGAGCUUGCUCUUACGGGUGGCGAGUGGCGGACGGGUGAGGAAUACAUCGGAAUCUACUUUUUCGUGGGGGAUGACGUAGGGAAACUUACGCUAAUACCGCAUACGACCUACGGGUGAAAGCAGGGGAUCUUCGGACCUUGCGCGAUUGAAUGAGCCGAUGUCGGAUUAGCUAGUUGGCGGGGUAAAGGCCCACCAAGGCGACGAUCCGUAGCUGGUCUGAGAGGAUGAUCAGCCACACUGGAACUGAGACACGGUCCAGACUCCUACGGGAGGCAGCAGUGGGGAAUAUUGGACAAUGGGCGCAAGCCUGAUCCAGCCAUACCGCGUGGGUGAAGAAGGCCUUCGGGUUGUAAAGCCCUUUUGUUGGGAAAGAAAAGCAGCAGGUUAAUACCCCGCUGUUCUGACGGUACCCAAAGAAUAAGCGCCGGCUAACUUCGUG
Molecule: ribosomal RNA, 492 nt
Filed under: uncultured bacterium
Lineage: Bacteria
Description: partial 16S ribosomal RNA
Rfam family: Bacterial small subunit ribosomal RNA
Source: RNAcentral